GCCCGGGCGGAGCGGCCGU
This 19-nucleotide small nuclear RNA is filed under the name Arabidopsis thaliana (thale cress). RNAcentral describes it as "snRNA_04691". Lineage: Eukaryota; Viridiplantae; Streptophyta; Magnoliopsida; Brassicales; Brassicaceae. The record is from RNAcentral.